AUACGGAGGGGGUUAGCGUUGUUCGGAAUUACUGGGCGUAAAGCGCACGUAGGCGGACUGGAAAGUUGGGGGUGAAAUCCCGGGGCUCAUCCCCGGAACUGCCUCCAAAACUUCCAAUCUAGAGAUCGAGAGAGGUGAGUGGAAUUCCAAGUGUAGAGGUGAAAUUCGUAGAUAUUUGGAGGAACACCAGUGGCGAAGGCGGCUCACUGGCUCGAUACUGACGCUGAGGUGCGAAAGCGUGGGGAGCAAACAGGAUUAGAAACCCUAGUAGUCC
Molecule: ribosomal RNA, 274 nt
Filed under: uncultured bacterium
Lineage: Bacteria
Description: partial 16S ribosomal RNA
Rfam family: Bacterial small subunit ribosomal RNA
Source: RNAcentral